RNAcentral lists this ribosomal RNA (197 nucleotides) under uncultured bacterium. Its description in RNAcentral is "partial 16S ribosomal RNA". It matches the Rfam family "Bacterial small subunit ribosomal RNA", at positions 328 to 539 of the family's 1533-position model. The record is from RNAcentral.
ACGCUCGACACCUACGGGNGGCAGCAGUGGGGAAUAUUGCACAAUGGGGGAAACCCUGAUGCAGCGACGCCGCGUGAGUGAAGAAGUAUUUCGGUAUGUAAAGCUCUAUCAGCAGGGAAGAAAAUGACGGUACCUGACUAAGAAGCCCCGGCUAACUACGUGCCUGCAGCCGCGGUAAUCUGAGCGGCUGGCAAGGC